RNAcentral lists this ribosomal RNA (460 nucleotides) under uncultured bacterium. RNAcentral describes it as "partial 16S ribosomal RNA". It matches the Rfam family "Bacterial small subunit ribosomal RNA", at positions 338 to 795 of the family's 1533-position model. The record is from RNAcentral.
CCUACGUGAGACAGCAGUGAGGAAUAUUGGUCAAUGGACGAGAGUCUGAACCAGCCAAGUAGCGUGAAGGAUGACUGCCCUAUGGGUUGUAAACUUCUUUUAUAUGGGAAUAAAAUGUUCCACGUGUGGGAUUUUGUAUGUACCAUAUGAAUAAGGAUCGGCUAACUCCGUGCCAGCAGCCGCGGUAAUACGGAGGAUCCGAGCGUUAUCCGGAUUUAUUGGGUUUAAAGGGAGCGUAGGUGGAUUGUUAAGUCAGUUGUGAAAGUUUGCGGCUCAACCGUAAAAUUGCAGUUGAAACUGGCAGUCUUGAGUACAGUAGAGGUGGGCGGAAUGCGUGGUGUAGCGGUGAAAUGCUUAGAUAUCACGAAGAACUCCGAUUGCGAAGGCAGCUCACUGGACUGCAACUGACACUGAGGCUCGAAAGUGUGGGUAUCAAACAGGAUUAGAUACCCGAGUAGUC